AUCGCUUCUCGGCCUUUUGGCUAAGAUCAAGUGUAGUAUCUGUUCUUAUCAGUUUGAUAAAGAAUAUCCUCAUCCAAGGUUACAUGAAGAUUUCUCAGUCAGCACAUUUAGCCCCAGAGAUGUGUACUUCACCAGAGGUCAAAGUUAGGAUGGCCCCCCCAUCACAUGGCAGAAAUCAACUAUGGUAU
Molecule: small nuclear RNA, 188 nt
Organism: Myotis myotis
Lineage: Eukaryota; Metazoa; Chordata; Mammalia; Chiroptera; Vespertilionidae
Product: U2 spliceosomal RNA
Exons: 1
Source: RefSeq, a predicted model, not a curated record